GCCGCCGUGGUGGAAUGGCAGACACAAGGGACUUAAAAUCCCUCGCCUAUAAAGCGUACGAGUUCGAGUCUCGUUGGCGGCACCA
RNAcentral lists this transfer RNA (85 nucleotides) under Oscillospiraceae bacterium. RNAcentral describes it as "tRNA-Leu". It matches the Rfam family "tRNA". From Rfam's summary of the family: Transfer RNA (tRNA) molecules are approximately 80 nucleotides in length. The record is from RNAcentral. Lineage: Bacteria; Bacillati; Bacillota; Clostridia; Eubacteriales; Oscillospiraceae.